RNAcentral lists this long non-coding RNA (391 nucleotides) under Olea europaea subsp. europaea. The record is from RNAcentral. Lineage: Eukaryota; Viridiplantae; Streptophyta; Magnoliopsida; Lamiales; Oleaceae.
AUCUUCAAUUCACAUCGCCGUCCCAGAUUGACAUCUAGCAAUGUGUCAGGGAAAUAUAUUUGACGAAAAAUGUCACGUUGUAUGAGAAAACAAAGUUUGUUCGUUUACCGUGGAACUAUAAUCCCUUAGUCAAUAUGAUCCGAUUAAUUAUGAGAUAUGAAAAUGUAUCAAUUUCAAUUAUCGAUCAUAUCUAUCACUCCACUAUAAAGUCAAUAUAAGUCAAAAACUCAUUUUCAACUUAUAAGUACACAUUGGCCAAGGAUUUCGCUAUUGACUCAACUGGAUGAAAUGUAGAUCAUAAUCGCUUACUAUCUAAGAGUGACGAAUCCUCUAUUAAUCAUUCACAACCUUCAUAUGAUUUUUGACAUAUUUGAACGAUGCCGUAUUAGCG